CCCUUCCACGAACCACUGGGCUCUGUGCGCCUCUGGAGCAACUGAACUUGUGCUUGUUUCCUGCAGUCCGAAGUUGAACCGUCUCCUGAGUCUUCUAAGAGUCUGAAAAUCACUGGGCCAUCAGGAAAGUCUAAGCCAAGUUAGUAAAAACCAACAAAAUCUUCUGGUCCUGGGUAGCUGACCCAUAACUGGAAGUUUGACACCAGAGAGUGCAAUACGGACCCUUUUGGAACACCAACAGAGAGCUGAAAGAUAAAUGAAAAAUAGAUAUAAUAGUUAAAAUAACACAGAAGCCAACCAGACAUUUAACUUCUUGCAAGUACAGCCUACAGAGGAAUUUCUAUGCAACAUGGAAAAGUGCAUAUAAAUGCUUGGGUGUAAUUUUCAAUCCCAUUUGCUGUCCUCCCCUGCCAACAAGAAGAUCACAGCAUACUCAAAAUAACUGAUUUAACUCACACAAGUACACAGGACACAAGCACACGGCUUACAAGGACCAAACAAUGUGGAAAAACCAGAAAUCCUUCCAUGGCUAAGAACACAUUCCAGCAUGCUGGAAAUCAUUUAUGCAUCUGCCAUGAAGUACCUGGAAGAAGGAAAGAGCCUGAAUCGGAGCUGCCUUAUCAGGCACCAACAGAAUCACAAAUCGAGGCUCACGGCUUAAAAGAACCAACAAGAAAAAUGAGACUGGAUUUGGAAAGGAGAUGGAAAUCUUGUACCUCUCACAAAACUAAGAAACCAUGGCAAAUGUCACGUCCUCACUGAAAAUUUCUGAAAGUAUAGGAAGUCAACUACUCAAGCAGUGCCUGCUAUCACUGCAGAAGACAUAAACAUAAAGAAUAUUUUCCUAAUUGCUAUGGACCACUUCAGUGGGGUGAGUGUAGCAGGUAAGCUCUGUGUGUCCAGGGGCUUGCUUGUAGAGGGAGUUGGGAGGUUGCAUGGUGGUGUCUCAGCAGAAAUUUCUACAUGACAAAAAUCACGUUCAUGAAGAUGUAUCCUCUCCUUCUAGGGCAUGCAAAUGAAAUUGAUUGCUGCCACACUGUGACAUGUGCAAUAAGUUUCAUACUCUGUCUGUUCAUCUGUGCAUGCUAAAUGCAAGGCUGACACGUGAAACAUGUCAGGGAUUUGUUUUAGAUUUGCUGUAGAUUUCUCUGAGCUAAUGGAAAUAGCUUCCCAUGGGAUUUCUAC
Molecule: long non-coding RNA, 1185 nt
Filed under: Cyanistes caeruleus (blue tit)
Lineage: Eukaryota; Metazoa; Chordata; Aves; Passeriformes; Paridae
Description: lncRNA (ENSCCEG00000000930.1)
Source: RNAcentral